RNAcentral lists this ribosomal RNA (488 nucleotides) under uncultured bacterium. RNAcentral describes it as "bacterial SSU rRNA". It matches the Rfam family "Bacterial small subunit ribosomal RNA", at positions 28 to 524 of the family's 1533-position model. The record is from RNAcentral.
GAUAAACGCUGGCGGCGUGCCUAAUGCAUGCAAGUCGAACGGGAGCGCCUUCGGGCGUCGACCGUGGCGGACGGGUGGAGGAGCGCGUAGCUGACCUGCCCAGGUGUGGGGGAUAGGCCUCGGAAACGGGGUGUAAGACCGCAUACGCUCAUGGUGGGGGACCGCCAUGAGGAAAGGCUUUCUUCGGAGAGUCGCGCCUGGAGGGGGCUGCGUCCGAUUAGCUGGUUGGUGGGGUAACGGCCUACCAAGGCGGUGAUCGGGUCGCUGGUCUGAGAGGACGACCAGCCACACGGGGACUGAGACACGGCCCCGACUCCUACGGGAGGCAGCAGCAAGGAAUUUUCCGCAAUGGGCGCAAGCCCUGACGGAGCAACGCCGCGUGCGGGGAGGACGCCCUUCGGGGUGUAAACCGCUUUCGGGGGACGAAGAUCGUGACGGUACCCCCGGAACGAAGGCCCGGCUAACUACGUGCCAGCAGCCGCGGUAAU